GGCCACCCAAGAGAAGAGCUCGACCCACCAGGUCCAAAGGAGGCAACUGCAGGUUAGUUUAAUAAACAGAUAGAUAGAUAUUUGAUUAUGAAACUAAUAAAACCAUACCUUGCCUCGCAAUUAUAACGAUGCUAUGCAAUAUGCAAUACCUGUAAAUCAUGCAAGUAGAUUACUUGAUUCUACUUUAUAUCAUUAACCACUCUCUACUUGUAGCCGUUCUUUUCUUUAUUAGCUAUUCUCGUUCAUUAGCUAUUUUCUUUAUUCUUUGUCAUACUGUGCUCACUGGCGAUUCUUUCCUAAGGUUAUUUUACCUUAGCCAUCUAUGCCACUCGACUCGGUCUUGAGUCAAUCAUCUGCGGAGUACCGCGUCAAGUGAAGCUCGAGGUGAAGGACGUCUCACAAGCACCUCAGCCUUAAUCCACGCGACACUAGGUCCAUCACAGGGAGAGGAGAACCGUCGAUCCCCGUGACCCUAAGUCGCUCAAGCUUAACGGGCGAGGAGAACCGUCAAACCCGUUGAGCUUAUACCGGGAGAGAAGAACCGUCGAUCCCGUUGAAUCACUACCGGGAGAGGAGAACCGUCGAUCCCGUAGUUCUGAUUCUAUUUGUGCCAACAACACCAUUCCUAUGGAUUCCGGAACCCACUUUCACAACUUAAGGGUUUAGCCACUUACCCUAUGCUGACGACCUUCCAAGGUCUAUAUCAUUCAAUUUCUAGUGGUCCUACUACCACUAUAAUUCAUAACUUAGUUCAAUUUUACUAAGUGUAACUAUACCUCAUAACCUAGGUUCGUUUACACUAGGUUUUAUAUUCUUUCACCUAGAUCUCGACUCUAGGUUUACUAAUUCAACCUAUGUUCAAUGACAUUAGGUUUAUUUCAUGUCCAACCUAUGUUUAAUAACAUUAGGUUCAUUUCAUAUCCAACCUAUGUUUAAUAACUUAGGUUCAUUUCAUAUCCAACCUAUGUUUAAUAACUUAGGUUCAUACCACUCAAUCUAUAUAAUGUCCAACUAAGAUUUAAUAACUUAGAUUCAUGCCACUCGAUCUAUAUAUCAUCCUAGGUAUCCUUGCCUAGGUUCAUAGUUCACAUGUUCUCAUUUUUCUUGUUACCAUCGAGGUUUCUAAUCAACUAGAAUUAUCGACAUUCAUAUAGCUUGAACUAUAGUACAUUCACUUUCAUAUAUGUUUAGACAUAGGCAUCAAACGUUCAUAUUCAUAAGCAUUUAACACUAGCUUUCAUGUAUCAACAAUUAUAUAUGCUCUAGCAUUCAUGUUCGCAUUUCGACAAUUACAUUCAUAUGCAUCUAGCGUUCAUAUCCAUGUGCAUUUAGCAUUCAUAUUCAUAUGGUAACCAUUAUAGAUCAUCUAGCAUUAAUCAUCAUAUGUCCACAAUCAUAUAUGCCUACUCAUAUGCAUUUAGCAUUAAUGUUCAUAUGUCGACAAUCAUAUUCAUAUAUGCGUCAAAUGAAACCAUGAUCUACUUUGGCAUGGAAGUGACCUAAUCACUUCGGUAAAGCACAACCCAC
RNAcentral lists this long non-coding RNA (1527 nucleotides) under Ananas comosus (pineapple). RNAcentral's name for it is "long non-coding RNA (ACOM_LNC043922)". The record is from RNAcentral. Lineage: Eukaryota; Viridiplantae; Streptophyta; Magnoliopsida; Poales; Bromeliaceae.